This 460-nucleotide ribosomal RNA is filed under the name uncultured bacterium. Its description in RNAcentral is "partial 16S ribosomal RNA". It matches the Rfam family "Bacterial small subunit ribosomal RNA", at positions 338 to 795 of the family's 1533-position model. The record is from RNAcentral.
CCUACGGGGGGCAGCAGUGAGGAAUAUUGGUCAAUGGGCGGGAGCCUGAACCAGCCAAGUCGCGUGAGGGAAGACGGUCCUACGGAUUGUAAACCUCUUUUGCCGGGGAGCAACGGGGUCCUUGCGAGGGCCCGAUGAGAGUACCCGGAGAAAAAGCAUCGGCUAACUCCGUGCCAGCAGCCGCGGUAAUACGGAGGAUGCGAGCGUUAUCCGGAUUUAUUGGGUUUAAAGGGUGCGUAGGCGGGCUGUUAAGUCAGCGGUCAAAUGUCGGGGCUCAACCCCGGUCUGCCGUUGAAACUGGCGGGCUGGAGUUGGAGAGAAGUACGCGGAAUGCGCGGUGUAGCGGUGAAAUGCUUAGAUAUCGCGCAGAACCCCGAUUGCGAAGGCAGCGUACCGGCUCCACACUGACGCUGAGGCACGAAAGCGUGGGUAUCGAACAGGAUUAGAUACCCCAGUAGUC